Molecule: ribosomal RNA, 427 nt
Filed under: uncultured bacterium
Lineage: Bacteria
Description: bacterial SSU rRNA
Rfam family: Bacterial small subunit ribosomal RNA
Source: RNAcentral
UAGGGAAUAUUGGACAAUGGGGGCAACCCUGAUCCAGCCAUGCCGCGUGAGUGAAGAAGGCCCUCGGGUUGUAAAGCUCUUUUGUCCGGAAAGAAAAGCAUUCGGAGAAUACCCGGAUGUUCUGACGGUACCGGAAGAAUAAGCACCGGCUAACUUCGUGCCAGCAGCCGCGGUAAUACGAAGGGUGCAAGCGUUACUCGGAAUUACUGGGCGUAAAGCGUGCGUAGGUGGUUGUUUAAGUCUGAUGUGAAAGCCCUGGGCUCAACCUGGGAAUGGCAUUGGAAACUGGGCAGCUAGAGUGCGGUAGAGGGUAGUGGAAUUCCCGGUGUAGCAGUGAAAUGCGUAGAGAUCGGGAGGAACAUCUGUGGCGAAGGCGACUGCCUGGACCAGCACUGACACUGAGGCACGAAAGCGUGGGGAGCAAACA